GACGAACGCUGGCGGCGUGCUUAACACAUGCAAGUCGAACGGAAAGGCCCUGCUUGCAGGGUACUCGAGUGGCGAACGGGUGAGUAACACGUGGGUGAUCUGCCCUGCACUUCGGGAUAAGCCUGGGAAACUGGGUCUAAUACCGGAUAGGAGCCAUUUUUAGUGUGAUGGUUGGAAAGUUUUUUCGGUGUAGGAUGAGCUCGCGGCCUAUCAGCUUGUUGGUGGGGUAAUGGCCUACCAAGGCGGCGACGGGUAGCCGGCCUGAGAGGGUGGACGGGCACAUUGGGACUGAGAUACGGCCCAGACUCCUACGGGAGGCAGCAGUGGGGAAUAUUGCACAAUGGGCGCAAGCCUGAUGCAGCGACGCCGCGGGGGGGAUGACGGCCUUCGGGUUGUAAACUCCUUUCGCUAGGGACGAAGCUUUUUGUGACGGUACCUAGAUAAGAAGCACCGGCUAACUACGUG
This 465-nucleotide ribosomal RNA is filed under the name uncultured bacterium. RNAcentral describes it as "partial 16S ribosomal RNA". It matches the Rfam family "Bacterial small subunit ribosomal RNA", at positions 28 to 507 of the family's 1533-position model. The record is from RNAcentral.